UCUGGAAGACGAAGAGCAGUGGUUCUAAGCUCUACCCAGGGUGCGGUGUUCGUGCCUCUAACCCUAAACCUGGCCAUUCCGUCGACUAUGUUCGACGUGAAUAGAAAAAGGGGGUCGUUUGUCCAUUCCUUUCCCCCUCCAUCAAAAAAGAAGGAAUGAUGCUCAGAGCUUAGAGCCAUUGCUGAGUUGAAAAGGUAGAUGGUUGAGGGGUGCUCAUGGUCCGCUAUGUUGCACGAAAUCCCAUCGUCUACCUCCCGUCUUCUUUUGCAAACACCUAUUU
This 280-nucleotide non-coding RNA is filed under the name Isoetes echinospora (spiny-spored quillwort). The record is from RNAcentral. Lineage: Eukaryota; Viridiplantae; Streptophyta; Lycopodiopsida; Isoetales; Isoetaceae.